Molecule: RNA transcript, 2396 nt
Organism: Carya illinoinensis
Lineage: Eukaryota; Viridiplantae; Streptophyta; Magnoliopsida; Fagales; Juglandaceae
Gene name: inositol-pentakisphosphate 2-kinase-like
Exons: 9
Source: RefSeq, a predicted model, not a curated record
CAAUUAUGACGGCAAAUUCAACGAGUCAUCCACUCCUUCCCCAAAAAGUAAAAGCCAGAAGCAGAUAGUAGGAUACAGAAAAAAGAAACGCUCUCACUUCCUCUCAUACUUCGCGUCUCCAACUCCACACAGCCAAAAAAAAAAGCAUCGUUUUUGCCGAUUCGCUUAGCUGGGGGUUCUGUUCGAGGAAAUAGGGCUUUUCUGGUUUGCAAGGUUACUUAGGGGUACAUGGAGAUUUCAAAUUUCGAAACGAAUAUUCAAGCUCCAUUAGGUAUUGUUAAUCUGAAGGAGGACGAUAAGGAUGUGGUUCUAGAGCAGAAGCACGCAGUUGACUGGGUCUACAGAGGCGAAGGAGCUGCUAAUCUUGUUCUCGCAUACACCGGAUCAUCUCACUCGUUUAUAGGGAAAGUAAUGCGGAUACCGAAGGCGCCGAGGAACGGGUCGCCGCACGUGAGGAGUCCGACGGCGUUGAGCACGCAGGAACGGCUACUAUGGAGAGACGUAGACGGCAUCGUAUCGUCCCCAAACAAAGAAAUUGCUGCCCAACUAUAUGUGCAGCACGUCAUGAGCCCUCUCCUGGGUUCCGAACAUGUUGAUGCCGGGAUGCGUGUCCUUGUGUCCAGGGAAUUCCUGGAGUCGGUUGAGAAAAAUGUUAUAUGUCAGCGUCCUGCUUGGCGAGUUGAUGCUGCCAAGGCUGAUACGGAUCGCGAUUCUGUGCUUCUCCUAACUGAUCAUUCGCUUUUUCCUGGCGGUACCCUCAACGGUAAACUCUGUGUAUCUGUUGAAAUAAAGCCCAAAUGUGGAUUUCUCCCUUUUUCAAGAUUCAUAUCAGAAAGAAAUGCCAUUAAACGGAGCAUUACUCGAUUUAGAAUGCACCAAGCCUUGAAGUUGCAUCAAGGAGAGAUAUCAGAAUUAAGCGAAUAUGAUCCCAUCGAUCUGUUCUCUAAGUGCAAGGAAAGGAUAGAUAAAGCUAUUAUCAGUCUCUUUAACACCCCUCAGAAUAAUUUCAGGGUAUUCUUGAAUGGUUCUCUCAUAUUUGGGGCCUUGGGUGCUGGUGCGAACAGUACUAGUUUUGUGAUUAGUGAAGCAUUUGAAGAUGCGCUCAAGUCUGUCAUCUGGGCAGAUAAUAACCUGCGUACAAAGAAUUUCCUACAGCUUGUUUCCGAGACAGUUUAUAAGUCUGGAGUACUGGAUCGGCUUCUUGAGAUCCAGAAGCUUGAUAAUUUUGACAUAGAAGGAGCAGUUCAUGCAUAUUAUGACAUCAUUUAUGAGUCUUGUCCAGUAUGCAGAGAAUCUGGUGGAGACAAAAUUUCACAGAUAUAUACAUCUUUGCAUUCCAUUCCUUUGGAUGAAAGCUUGAAGAUUGUAAAGGACUAUUUGAUAGCGGCAACCGCAAAAGACUGUAGCCUAAUAAUUAGUUUUAGACCAAGUGAAGAUGGUUAUUCAGGAUCUCCAUAUAAUAAAAUACACCUAGACGCAACCAACCAAAUCUUUGAUUACAAGGCAUCUUUCAUUGACCUAGAUUUGAAACCUUUGAAGAAGAUGGAAGACUAUUAUGAGUUAGACAAGAAGAUUGUGAACUGCUACACUCGUAUGGUGGAAGCAGAAAGAAGCAUAAAAGCUAAUACGACUUAAAGAAACUCAACAUCAUGCAUAGAGGAUAAUUCUGACUGAGGAUUCUAUUGGGAACAUUACACUGAAGCAGCAGUUAACCCGACGCUAGAGCCUAUUCUCACAGCAGAAGCUGGAGUGAUGGAAGACUGUGAGCUCUGUUCGAGAAGUCCUGAUAUUUUAAUCAGCUUAGUGAAAUGCUUUUGCGGUCCAAUUAUGUUUGCCUGCAGCUUUACUGAAUCACGUGCUCAACAACUUGCUCCUGAGCAGUGAAAAGAAAACUGUGGUGUCAGUGGAACUGCUGUGUUCGAAGUGCAGGCAGAAGGUAAUGAAGUUAGUUGCAACAAUAGAAGGAAUAACUUCUAUAUUGCUUGACCCUUCAAAGAGUACGGUGACAAUAAUUGGAGAAGCUGAUCCAGUGACAAUCAUCAAGAAGGUCAGAAAAUUCAGAAAAUCUGCCACAGUAGUCAGUGUAGGUCCUCAAAAAGAAGAGAAGAAGGAUGAGAAGAAAGAUCUUCUUUUUACACCAAAGACAUGUCAGAGAUGUGAUGUGUGGUAUGUGAUUGCUGAAGAUUAUUACAAUUAUUGUUCCAUUAUGUAACCAAAUCAAGUAAGUCACUUUUCUUGAAUCCUUUGUGUUUACUGUUCGUUCCUUUGCAUGUAUUUCGUACUGCAAGAGUAGAUCGCAUAUGCCAUCCCAUUUGCAUAUAAUGUGAAUAUGCAUUGUUCUAUGGAUAUUGAAUGCUUCUCUCUUCUUUGAAUCAAAAGCAGCUCUGUUGCGAUCU